Molecule: ribosomal RNA, 301 nt
Filed under: uncultured bacterium
Lineage: Bacteria
Description: partial 16S ribosomal RNA
Rfam family: Bacterial small subunit ribosomal RNA
Source: RNAcentral
CAGUCGCCGCGGGAAUACGUAGGUGGCAAGCGUUGUCCGGAAUUAUUGGGCGUAAAGGGCUCGCAGGCGGUUUCUUAAGUCUGAUGUGAAAGCCCCCGGCUCAACCGGGGAGGGUCAUUGGAAACUGGGAAACUUGAGUGCAGAAGAGGAGAGUGGAAUUCCACGUGUAGCGGUGAGAUGCGUAGAGAUGUGGAGGAACACCAGUGGCGAAGGCGACUCUCUGGUCUGUAACUGACGCUGAGGAGCGAAAGCGUGGGGAGCGAACAGGAUUAGAUACCCGGGUAGUCCCUGUCUCUUAUAC